GAGUUAGAGAUAAUUUUAAAACUAAUUUCUCGUUUUGAUUUGCUCAAUUUGAACAUGAUAGACUCCUUAUUAUACCCAUAAAAUUUGAACUAU
Molecule: small nucleolar RNA, 93 nt
Filed under: Theobroma cacao (cacao)
Lineage: Eukaryota; Viridiplantae; Streptophyta; Magnoliopsida; Malvales; Malvaceae
Description: Small nucleolar RNA snoR8a
Rfam family: Small nucleolar RNA snoR8a
Source: Rfam by way of RNAcentral